UUGAUGUAAGAUCACCUUAAGGAUUAUGCAAAUAGAAAUUAACAUCAGCACGUGUAAAUUAGAUUAAAAUAUGCUCACAAGAUUUUAGGAAAUAGGUAGGUCUAACAAUGUGACUUAGACUUUUUCUUGUCUGAAAUACCUGACUGACAGUUUCUAGUUUUGAUUUCUCCUACCUCUGACCAGGUUCUGCAUGGAAGCUAUACAAGCUACAAACUUGAUCUCUGUCCUCUUGUAGCCGGAGCUGGUCAGUGAAAGCAGACGCUGUUGAGCACUUACUACUGAUAAGGCAAUGUACCUGGUAGACACUCUGGAGGGAGAAUAAGAGGAAACCAUAGAAGGACCUCCUGAGUAGGAGAGCUAAACCGUGUGUACAAGGAAUCACAUCUGUGUUUAUUGGGGUCUGCUAUGUGACAGGCAUGUUACUGCUUCCAACUUUAAAAAAGACCUCAGGGCAGAACUCCUGCUGCCAGAGAAAGGACCCUUCACUGAAAGAGCUGGAUGAGGCAUCAGCAAGAGGCUUUCAAUCCAGACAAGUAAGGAGGAAGGCAGUGGAUCAACCUCAUUCUUCAAACAAUACUUCCACUCAGGUGGCAGGACUCCGGGGGGAAGCUUCUUUGGACAGGGAGAAUCUCUUGGGUACAAGUGACAGCAACUCAACUCAAACUAACUGAAACCCAAAAGGGCCGGCGGGAGCAGCCGGAAAGACGCGGAGGCACGGGCCGCUGUUGGGUGGAGCGGCGGCCGCCUCCAGCAGCAGCGCGGGGACCCGCGGAGCUGUCACCUCCGUCCUCCACCUGCCGCGCGUCCGCGGGCAGUUCCUCCCCUCGGUGGCCCCGGGGCGCGGGUGCCGUCCCUCGGCCUCUGCCCUCAGGGUCAUACAGGCUCCUCCCGGCGACCGGGGACAGAGAUUCCGCCUGUGGCUGGGAACUGGAACUGCCCGAAGACGCUCCCGGGGACGCUGUAGGCAGCGCCCUGGCCGCAGGGAGAGGCCGAGUCUCGCCGAGCGAGGAAUCGCAGGGUCUGGCAGCCGCCGGGCUGCCGGCAGGGGGCGCUCCCGGUGCACACGAGGGGCUCCGCCGCCCGCACAGGGUGUAAAGCGGGGGCCCCGGGGCCCUGCGGGGGGUCUAGGGCUGUGCAGGGCCGCCGUGGCUCCUCACAAGGGCUCUGCUGGGCGCCGCGCAGAGUCCUGAGCGGCCUUGGGUCUCUGGUUCAGCGGCCCGGGGUCGCUGGCAGAAGCAGGGCCGUGCGCCGGGGCCCCGGCUGGCUUAGGCUGCCUUUGCCCUUCUGCCUGGAGGCCUGGCCGAGGCUGGCUCUCCCUCACAGUGAGGGAUUCCUGCCCGGAUCUGUGCUGCUGGAGAGGCUGGCGAUGGCAGCGGGGACAGCAGGGCCUUCCCCUCAGGCCGGCAGGGGCCUGGCGAGCGCAGGGGCUUUGCAGUCUCCAGGGCGUCAAGCAGGGCGUCCUUGGGAGCUGGGCAGCUCCUCCGAGCGGCCCUGGAGUAGCAGUUUGGGUGGGAAGGGCUUGCGGUUGGCGGAGACCGGGGGCGGGGAGGAAAGCUGCAGGGGGUGGGUUAGCUGAAAGCCCAGGUUUCAGGGAGUGCGAUGUCCUCGGGUCUCUUAAACCCAGGAGCAGGUGUGUGGCCGAUGCCUCAUCGCCUUCCGGCCUGUGAGUCCUAGAUCUCUCCUUCCACGUGUGACCAGCCCCCCCCCCCCGCCCCCCCGCACGCAGUCUGCCCAGGGUCCUUGUAGUCGCAGACUGGCUCCAGGACGGCCUUCGGGUCCUCGGGGUCAUGACCCACAGCAAUCCACGGAGCCUUCUCAGCAUCCUCAACCUGCCUCUCUUGCUGGGAUGGGAAUGCGCACUUCUCACGCAGAUUUCCACGUUCUGUGGGGGAGAAGGGAAUGGGAGAUAUUCUGCUUGGUACCGGGCCCCACAGCUCCUGGACCGUCUGUCCCUCAAAAGGCAGAGUGUGGACUCCCCCCUCCGGUUCUCUCCUGGGGGAGCUGGGGGCAGCCCAAUGGCACCGCCGCAGACAGUGUCGGGCUUGUUGGAAAAGGCGAAUUUGUCUUUGAAGCCAGUUUGCAAUCGUGAUGUUCCCGCCAGCUUCCAAUUGCAGGUUUUCUGCCUUCAAGUCCGGAUGGGCAGCACGCCUCUGCUGACGAUUUGCACAGAGGACACCGUCUGAUGGAACUUGCCUCAGCCUCUUCCCUUUCCUGCCGCCGGGAGCCACUAGGUACUCGGCGCCCCCCCUCUGCCAGCGCCCUUCCUCGUGAGGCCGGGAGCUUCCUCAGCCUCGGCUCCUCCAGCAUUUCCCUGUGUUGGGAUCAUCCUUCAGCGCCUUCAUGAUUCCUGCUUUGCGGGGAAGUCUGGAGGCAGGAGGAGCUCUGUGGCAUCUCAUCAGUGACCUUCAUGGCCACCACUUCCUGGGGCAGGAGGUGCUGGGCCAGCCUCCCCACAACUGAGCCAUGCUUGCCAGUGGCCUCCAGACCAUUGUCAGUACCAGUGAGUCUGUCCUCAGCAGAGGUGGUGAGAGCCCCGUAGUGUCCUGGCCUCGCGGCUGUGCUUGGAGUCAAGGUGACCUAAGGUCAGCUUACAUUUGGGAAAAGCUGAGGAGAGGUUUGGUCCAAAUCACCUCAAAAGAAAAUCAGUUCAAAGUUCACCUGAGGAACUGAUCUUUGUAAUGGAAUCAAAAUACAGUGCUAGACAAAAAGCAAAUAUCAACCAACUAAAAUAUAAUUGAAUGAAAAGCAAUAAAAAAUGAUAAAAGUAAAAAUGAAAGAAAAAUGAGAAAAAGAAAAAAGAAUAGGGGAAAAACAACCCAACAACCAAAAUAGACCAAAGUGCCAAGGAGGAAACAAGCUAACCUUGGUCAAAGUCCUUCAGGUCACUGAAAAGCAGCUUCCUGAGCUUGAAGGAAUGGCACCCUAGGCGCAGCCAGAGAUUCCUUUGGUUGUUGGAGUUCUAGAACAAUAGUACGAGGUCAUAGGAAUAAGUGGACCUAGUGUGGCAGAAGAUCAUCUACAGUGAUUUUCUCCCUUUUUUGAUCUCAAGAUCAUUUACUCUUUAAAAAAAAUUGAGAACCCAAAGAGCUUUUUGUUUAUGUAGGUUACAGAGAUCAAUAUUUACCAUACUAGAAAUUAAAACCUGCAGGAUGCCUCAGUGGGCUUUUCAUGUCUAGUUUGAAAAGCUGUAAUAAUUUUUGGCUUUUAAAGAGUUCAUAAUGUCUACACUUAAAAUAUUCAAUUUCUCUUUCUAUAAAACUCUGAACAAUUGAUUAAGAAUGAAACCACAACUUAACUGGCAUUGUGAUCCUCUGUAAGAAUGUUCUGUUGGAUAAGAUACAAAAAGUCUCCUUAUCAACAUUCAUGAUGCUAAGGGGAAGAGAC
Molecule: long non-coding RNA, 3384 nt
Organism: Mustela erminea (ermine)
Lineage: Eukaryota; Metazoa; Chordata; Mammalia; Carnivora; Mustelidae
Exons: 5
Source: RefSeq, a predicted model, not a curated record